UAUUAUUUUUAUUGAUAAUCCAAUGAUGAAAGUAGUUCCUUUCCUUUUUUUUUGGGAUUUAAACACUACUUGCAGUGAAUCAAGUGGUGUAAAGUCAUAUCAACCACUUAUCAUAUUAGAGGCAAAUCAACCAAAAUCUCCAAUUGUGGGUUCAAAUCAACUGGAAGGGUGAGAAUGCAAAGGCUUUCACAUGGUGAUGAUGGACAGUUUUGGGGAC
This 217-nucleotide long non-coding RNA is filed under the name Elaeis guineensis (African oil palm). RNAcentral's name for it is "long non-coding RNA (EGUI_LNC018752)". The record is from RNAcentral. Lineage: Eukaryota; Viridiplantae; Streptophyta; Magnoliopsida; Arecales; Arecaceae.